CCCUGUCCUCACAUGAAGAGGGUAUGUCUACCCUGUCCUCACAUGAAGAGGGCUUGUCUGCCCCUGUCCUCACAUGAAGAGGGCUUGUCUACCCUGUCCUCACAUGAAGAAGAAAAAAAGAAAAGGAAAGAAUGAUGGAGGUACAACUGAGAGGUUCUUCCUAUGUCUCACACUUCACAGCAGAUGUCACAAGCCACUGUCUUAGAAGCAACACCUUGUAUGGGGACGUAUAGAUGCUCUCUGAUAGCCCUGUGGACCCUGGACAGGGAUAAAGUGCUCAAUAAGGAGGCAUCUGGCAUACAGCAAGAGGAUGCUAUGGCAGGUUCUCUGAUAAGGCUGUCUGCUAAACCCCAGAAGCCCUACCAUGGUGAAAGACAAGAGUGGAAGACACUAAAAUGAAGCAGACUCUGGGCAGUCUGAGACACCCCAGCUCAAAGCCCUUUGGUAGCAGAAGCUAACACCCAAAGAGGAGGUGAGAUGGGCUGGACCUCAACAAGAUGGCAACAGAAGCCCAGGGAAGACAUGUGACUACAAAGCAAGCUGUGUCCUCCCUGGCAGGGCUUCCUGGGAGAAGGAGUCACAGGGUGAGAGGAGCCAAGAAUUAAGACCACAGCAGGUCAACAUAACUGAAAAAAAAAAUCGCAUCAAGCCAGAGCAGACCAGUUUACUUAAACCAGCAAGUCUAAGUUCUCUUGGGUUUCCCUGUGUGAAGGGAGACCUCAGAUUAACUCAAUACCAAUUUAGACAGUGAAGAGUCCAUGUUUUCAGUACAACUUAAGGAUGGCUUCUUAGUGCUUUCGUAGCUGCAUGUAUGGGCUUCAAGGGGCUUCAACACAUAGAAGGACAGAACCUAUCUCCCUCCAGGCAGAGAGAAGAAAGGAGAAGCUGCUCAAGGCAAGAUCUGCAAAGUGUGGGUCACAGUGACUUUGUUUUUCUUGGCCCACCACAUAUUGAAACCAUUCCUGCAUGUCGAUCCUGAAUAUCUAUCUCAGCCAAAUCCUUGUGAAAAUUACUUACUGAGCAGUACAACAGAGCGAGUUUCUAACAUUAAAUGUCUUGGGGUAUUUUAUCUUUUUCAAGUGCAUACCAAAAGCAAUUAAGUUCAAACUAUGGGGUAUAGUGCUUGCCAGUUUCCAUUCUUGACACAUAUGUGUCUGGGUUUACAAGUUCAAAGGCCUCUUAAAGGAUCUGAUCUCUAGCUUCAAUUUUCUCUC
This is a long non-coding RNA of Mastomys coucha (southern multimammate mouse), 1214 nucleotides long. RefSeq lists it as uncharacterized. The transcript has 4 exons. The record is from RefSeq and is a predicted model, not a curated record. Lineage: Eukaryota; Metazoa; Chordata; Mammalia; Rodentia; Muridae.